UUUUGAAUGCUUACUAAGCGUUGUGGAAUCACCGACAGUGUUGUGCAAUCGUCACUGCUCAGUUUUUUCUGUUUCGAUUUCAUUUCUGCGUGCCUGUUAAAGUUUUGGGGCAUAGGUUUCGGUGAAGAUUUGAGGGGGAACGUGUGCUAUGAGUAUACUUUUGUUUGAUGAUUCAUCAGGACAUUGGAUUUCGGGCGAUAGAGUUUUAUGUUCUGUUUUGUGGGCAUGGUGGUGGCUUAUAAUUCCACGUUUUCUUUUUUCCAUAGAAAUGGCUCGGAGAUUUGGGUAUCGAGGAGUUGGAACUGUAGAUGUGGUAGCACUGAUCAAUUCGGCAGACUAAUGUUAGGGUUUACAACGCUGCCUGUAAGAACACUACCUUGAAGGUGGAGCACAAUUCAGCUGUUUUGGAAUUACUAUGCAUGGAUGUACUGCGCGUGCUACAAUGACCAGACUGUAUCCGUGACUUGAAACUUUUAGGUCGACAGUUGCUGUGAAGGAGACUCGUUUGGGUUGUUCACUAUGUUUUCUGAUCACUGUGUGCGAAUGCACUAGUAUACAGCCAUUUAAAAUCGACAUGUUUUUCGUUCCAGGAAAGGUUUGGCGGACUGUGAAGUUUGUUUGUCUCGCUGCGAUUGAACGCCUCCCAAAGAAAGUUUAUUGUUGGUUAGUGAAGAUAUGACUUGGUCAACCAGAGUUUAACCUCGGGGCUUUAUCAUCACAACCAACGGUGCGCCGCUGUGCCCACAGAGCGGUAAGUAAACCCAAAGCUAAGUGAAGAAUGAUCACGAUAUCAGGGCUCCGAGCCUGUGCGGCCACCAACUUCUUGCGGAGAUUUACGAAUCCGUAGUUGAUGUUGGAAGCAGAUUUUUGUUUUAGGGGAUGUUCUUCGCAAGAGGUUCCUAUAGUUGCGGUUGUAGCCAUAGGUAGGACAUUGUUGUCAAAUACUUCUGGCAACAUUGCCACACCUGAUUGCCACCCAAGAAAUAGGGAAACAAUUUGUUCAUUCACAUCUAUGCGGAACAGGUAUUCUACGCGAUUAUACAAGAAGGGUUUUCGGCAGAGCUUAA
Physcomitrium patens is the source of this 1067-nucleotide non-coding RNA. The record is from RefSeq and is a predicted model, not a curated record. NCBI's taxonomy places the organism in Eukaryota, Viridiplantae, Streptophyta, Bryopsida, Funariales, Funariaceae.